Molecule: long non-coding RNA, 2330 nt
Organism: Thunnus maccoyii (southern bluefin tuna)
Lineage: Eukaryota; Metazoa; Chordata; Actinopteri; Scombriformes; Scombridae
Exons: 3
Source: RefSeq, a predicted model, not a curated record
UGCAAUACACACACAGACACAGAUGCACAUACGGACUCAAAUGAGCAAAUGAGCGCAGGAGGUGUGUUUUCUUGCUGUUUGAGUAAGCGGGUACACACACACACACAUACACACAGGCUUUGCUCAGUGUGUGUGUUGCUGCAGAUAGCUCCCCCUCUCUGGUGUAUGAAUGAGUGUCCUGAGAGUGCUGGAUAAAGGUGGUCUGUGCUGCAGCUCUGCUCCACUGACCCUUAAAGGAGGCAUUGAUGGGAGGACCGGCCGGCUGCUGCAGCUCCAGGACCUGCGUCCGCCUGCAGCACACCGGCCGAAGAUGGAGAGAGUCAGGGGUGGGAGCAGCUCUGCGAUCUGUACAGUAAGACUCCUAACACGCUGACCGUGAAGCUUCAUUCAUCACGGCCGAAAUCUCGAGAUGUGUGGCUCUCUCUGUCUUUAACGCCAUUGGUCAGAAAGUGGGUCAGAGAAGGUAGACUGAGGUGCGACUGCCUCUCUGCUCGCUGGACUCUUACUGUUGGUUCAUAGAUGGAACUCAGAGCCGGGGCCUGAACAAGAGCCAGGGGCCAGUGUUAGUAAACUGUGGAGAGACCAAGGGAAGUACCUCAUCCGACACACACACACACAGCUCAGGGUUUACACUGUGCGACGACCAAGAGAAGCAUCUCAUCUGCAUUGCACCUACACACACACACACACACACACAUGCACACGCACUAAGGAGCCACAAGCAUUGGCACACUCAGGCCUCUCACAACAUGCUUUGUAAAUAUUUACAGCUCGGCAGGCGUUGAAGGGAGAGGAACAUGGCGGACCAAGCAGCGCCGGUCGAACGUAACCGGCCAUCAGCCAACCCCUACAUCUCCACCCUCCCCCCCCAUCAUCUCCGACCAUCACCGGACUUCACAUCCACUGGGCAAACAACAUUACCCUAUUCAGCAUCUGUGCACUGUGGCUUACCUUGGCUUACCUUGCGGCAGUUGGGGAGGUUACCUCAGCUGAGCAUGGGGCCGGAGGCUGCUUCCUGAAAAUAAAGCGAAGAUUAUGUUUUUAGCUACUCACAAUAAGAGAGGCAGUGGUAAGCUGAAUGCUGGGUAAACUGUGACCUCCUGUCAGUGGUCAUACUGAGGUGAAUAGUUAGGAAUAAGCAAAAAAAGGGUUACAUAUUUAGACUUUCACAGGAGUUUGAUACCUUGCCAGACUGAAAAAGUGCACAUGUUGAGUUUAAUCUUCCCUCUAUCAUUAUAUAAAACUGUUGAGCUUUAGGCAAAUAGACAUUUGUCGGUUAUAGUGCCAAACUCACAGUCACCACAUUGGUAUUUUUUCAGUCAAUAAAAGAACAACAUGUACCCAAGUAUGGUGCAGUGCAGCAGUUCACAAACAACUUUAUGUUACAUGGCUCAGACAUCCACAUACUAUUAUGUCAUCAACUUCAAUUAAAGUUAAUCUGAUGUUGUGGAACCUGUGUUAAACAGCGGCCACUGUGGACACCAGUGGUAAUUACAGUUUAAUUGCAUAUUGAGUUUUCCCUCCAUUUCCCAAGAUGUGUUUUGUACAUCUAUGAAUAUGUGUAACUGUGUGUUUAAUCUGUGUGUAAAUCUCACAUCACAUUGAAUCGUAUUGUAUUUCCUUGAUUCAGUUGUUUUAAACCUGUAUUAAUGUAUUUUUUGGCCAUCUGGAGGCUUUAUAAAUGUGUUAUGGUGAUUGUGUUAGACAAUAGUUGCCUAAGUGCACAUCUAGCAGACACAGAGCAUUAUUAGCUUUCAUUCUGAGCUGUUUCUGGUUCCACUCCCAAUUUAUGAGAGACCUAUGAUAAAUGCUCCACUAUGUUCACCAGCUAGAUGCAGGCUGUAAAACCAAAACAAUGAGCUGAAAGAAAGAAGGGAAGGGAACUGAAGGGAACUGCAAACUCAACUGAUAACUGUAUUUGGGUGUGAUACAAUUCCUGAAAUGUCUGUGACACACUAAACAUAGUGUAACAGUGGCUCAAAUAGAGAAGAGUCUUUAAAUCAGCUAACAAGUUUGCUAACAUUAGCUGCCAUUAGCUCCUGGUCAUACUAGACAAAGUAAGGCUCUCACAAACAAAGGCUCGAUUUCUUUAAUAUAGAUUUUCUGUUUUUUGAAAGAAGAAUAAUGUGUUGUUUUUUUUUUCUUUAAAAAGUUACAUGACUGCGCUUUGAGUUAUAGGCCUCACAGGACUCCUGACUCUGGAUGCAGACUGCUGUGGGAAUGAAUCCCACUGAACUGUAACCCUCUGUCUUGUCUCUCUUGGCAGCUUAAACAUCGCCUUGGACUCAGAUAUCACCUGCCUUUCUAAUUACAUAAAGUUACAACAGUAA